UUGGGAAGCAGUUCCAGAUGGCUGAUGAGCACCUUGAGCCAAAAGGAGAAUUCUUUUUAAAGCCUCAGUGUACAUAGGUUUCACAGGUUAAGAUACAAGUCACCAAUGUUGCAUAAAUUUCAGAGCUGCUGCAACAAAGUACCACAAACCGGAUGGCUUAGAACCACAGACACAUAUUGUUUCACAGUUCUGAAGGUCAGAAGUCUGAAAUCAAGGUGGCAGCACAGCCAUACCUCCUCCCCCGAAGGCAUUAAUGAAGGAUCUAUCACAGGCAUCCUCUGAGGUUCCGGAGUUCAUUGGCUAUGACUCAAACUGAAACAUCGGUUCACCUCGGGCCUUGAGCCUGCUGGCUUUCAGAAUGAAGUGCACCAUCAACUCUCCUGGUUCUCAGGCCUUCGGACUGGGACUAAAAGUCUAGAGUGGCUCUCCUGGGUUCAGUAUGCCAACUGCAGAUCUUGAGAUGUGACAGCCUCCAUAAU
Pteropus alecto (black flying fox) is the source of this 479-nucleotide long non-coding RNA. RefSeq lists it as uncharacterized. The record is from RefSeq and is a predicted model, not a curated record. The transcript is spliced from 3 exons. Lineage: Eukaryota; Metazoa; Chordata; Mammalia; Chiroptera; Pteropodidae.